AAUUCUCAACCAUGUCUCGAUUGAUUUCGAGCGCAUGGCUUGGAUGUGGGGGCUGCUGGCGGCGCGAGCCGUCGGCUCUCCUGAAAUGCAUUAGCAAAGUCGAGUCUUUUCGUGCACGGCCUUUCGACGUGAUAAUGAUCGUCGUGGCUGGAGCGAGAGGCGUGAAUCGUCGUUGCUUCCAAUACUGCUGAUCCUCGCGGAUCGCGCUUUCUUAA
This 215-nucleotide unclassified non-coding RNA is filed under the name Chalciporus piperatus. RNAcentral describes it as "partial internal transcribed spacer 2". The record is from RNAcentral. Lineage: Eukaryota; Fungi; Basidiomycota; Agaricomycetes; Boletales; Boletaceae.